Molecule: ribosomal RNA, 704 nt
Filed under: Pseudomonas sp.
Lineage: Bacteria; Pseudomonadati; Pseudomonadota; Gammaproteobacteria; Pseudomonadales; Pseudomonadaceae
Description: bacterial SSU rRNA
Rfam family: Bacterial small subunit ribosomal RNA
Source: RNAcentral
GAUUGAACGCUGGCGGCAGGCCUAACACAUGCAAGUCGAGCGGUAGAGAGAAGCUUGCUUCUCUUGAGAGCGGCGGACGGGUGAGUAAUGCCUAGGAAUCUGCCUGGUAGUGGGGGAUAACGUUCGGAAACGGACGCUAAUACCGCAUACGUCCUACGGGAGAAAGCAGGGGACCUUCGGGCCUUGCGCUAUCAGAUGAGCCUAGGUCGGAUUAGCUAGUUGGUGAGGUAAUGGCUCACCAAGGCGACGAUCCGUAACUGGUCUGAGAGGAUGAUCAGUCACACUGGAACUGAGACACGGUCCAGACUCCUACGGGAGGCAGCAGUGGGGAAUAUUGGACAAUGGGCGAAAGCCUGAUCCAGCCAUGCCGCGUGUGUGAAGAAGGUCUUCGGAUUGUAAAGCACUUUAAGUUGGGAGGAAGGGCAGUUACCUAAUACGUGAUUGUUUUGACGUUACCGACAGAAUAAGCACCGGCUAACUCUGUGCCAGCAGCCGCGGUAAUACAGAGGGUGCAAGCGUUAAUCGGAAUUACUGGGCGUAAAGCGCGCGUAGGUGGUUAGUUAAGUUGGAUGUGAAAUCCCCGGGCUCAACCUGGGAACUGCAUUCAAAACUGACUGACUAGAGUAUGGUAGAGGGUGGUGGAAUUUCCUGUGUAGCGGUGAAAUGCGUAGAUAUAGGAAGGAACACCAGUGGCGAAGGCGACC